UUUUUCUGUCCACUGUAUUUUUUGUAAGGUCUGGAUGGUAUAGAAGUUCUGUCACACAGAAAUAAACGCAAUGGUCGGCUCUUCCGCAACAAGGAAGCUCAGCGAAAUACAGCUUUAUGAAAUGUAAUUUGCAAACUCAAAUGCUCUGGCCGAGAAUCGCUGCGAUUAGUGUCCCGUUCCAGAUUUGGGGAUGAUGAUGAAUCUCUCAGAGCCGCUUCCUCGCCUUCCGGAAAAGCCCCUCGAGCGGAGCAGCGGCUGCAGUACCUCAUUGGAUCCGGAUGGCGGCGCUGUUGCGCACGGACGGCGGUGGGGCGGGCGCAUGCAAAUCUACCGCAGCGAUCAGCCAAUCGGCUGCCACCGGGCUUGGAGCGGGGGCAGCUGGGAGCCACAGCGAUCCGUUCCCGAGGUUCGCUCGGGAGCGCGUACGGGGAAAGAAGUAAGAAAGAGCGGAGAGUCGACGAGGGAAGAGCGUCGAGAGCUGCUGGUCUGAUACCGCUUCUCGCUCUGACCGCAGAGAUGGCUCGAGAUGCCAAGGUGGAACAGGUCCUCCCGGCUCUGCUACACGUCCGCCUGUAUUCCCGGAAGUACCGUCUAAUUGUCGUGAACUCCUACGCCGCCGCUCCGCUAUUAUCUAUGGUCUUCAGUCCUCCAGAAAGUAAGACGCAUGCGCCCGGCAACACGGAAGUAGCGUCUUUCUGCAGGAACAGCUGUACGCCAGCAGUUCACUGGUCCCUAUUGUAGCAGGCCCUCCUGACUGUACUACGCAUGCGCACGGCAAAGUGGCCGUAGUGCCGUUUCGGUACGUGUAGUGCCGCAUCGCAGUGAGCGGGGGGCAGCAGAGAGCCGCUGCGCAUGCGGGGUGCGUGACCUUUAGGAGGGGUUUAGCACGCGUGCGCGAUUCACAUGGAGGACCGAUGACCAUAGAGCCUGCUGGAACCCGGAGCCUAGCGCGGCUUGCAGGAAGUCGCUUUGUUUACUUCCUGCUGCGUUGGGUCGCGGGUACGUGGCGGCGCGGCGAUCUCCGUGUGGAUUGUGACGUCCAUCAGCAGCACGGGCCCCGGACGCCAGCGAUGCCCCGUUCGCGCCCAGUUUAACCCUUCGAGCUCUGCCUCGCGCUCUUUUUCUCAGGGUGGUGCUGCAGCCGAGGCCCUUUGAGCGACAGUUGCACUGCAGCACCCCUGCUACCCACAACAGCCUUCCAGUUAACCCCUCACUGUAUUCUUGAAACGCUUCUUAGUGAAGCCAUAUUUCUCUUGAUGGGAAAGAUGAGCCUGCUGUUACUGACUGUGAUUACAAACAUAGUGUGUACCUGCAUCCCUUCUAGUGAGGACUAUAAGCAGUUACCACAAUAGGUCAGUGAGAAUAUCUGUGUUUCAGGUUGCCUGGAACAGCGCUGCAUCCCUCAGUGGUUUUUGUUCUCACAGCCAUGAACUCUGCAUGAGGAAGAGCUGACCAGCCUGCUCCGGUGGCAUAGUCGUGGGUAUGCAUUAUCCCCACUCAGACCUUCAUAUGCACAAACAAAUCUCUCCACCCUCAGCAACUUCAGUCACUCAGAGCACUUAUGUCUUCCCUCUCUCCCAAAACUUUCCUUUCUUGUCCCUACAACUCCUAAGACUCUUUUGUUCAUUCUUCUUUAAACAAUUUGACUGCAAUCAACAAUAUCGGUCAAAAAGCUGCUCUUCAAGUUGUUGGAUGUCAGGAGAUUAUCCUACAAGUGAAUCAAACUACUAAAGUCAUUGGAUGAUUCUAGUUUAAUAGCAUUUUUCCUAAGCUUUGACCAUGGUUCCCUGUUAGGUUUUGUGAUAAAAACUUUGUCUCCAUAAGCUCAAAGCAUAAAGGCAUUACAGCUGGUGGAGAAAGCCCCUUUUUAACUCAAAGUGGUAAGGCCAUGUAACAGCUUAAUCAGAUAGCUCUUUGCUGCUCAUUUUCUUCAUUGGUGUUGCUCUGCUUCUUCAAGGUAUAUCUUCAAAAGCAGUAUGCAUUGAGUAUUUUCAAAACAGGAACCAUCAUCUUAUUGCCUGCUAGUUUCCACUAAUGUCACUGCUGUUGCUGUCUGGAGAACAAUUCCUUUCACUUGCUGCCUCUUCUAACUCCUCUAUAUUUCACAUGCCAAUACACAAUCUACUGACCUGGGUGGCAUGCAAACCCUCCCCAUCAAUCACUAAUUGCAUUAAUCACCAUUGCAUUAAUCUCUAGCUUUCUUCUCCUGCAGUCACUCAGCCUACCAGUCCUGGGUGGUUAUGCCACGUUCACCAGUAUGUGACGUGAAUUUCAGCCUGCUUUCGCCAUAACCACCUUAUUGUUGGAGAUGGGGGGACGAGGCAGAAUAUCAGUGUCUGCAUGUUGCUGGCUCUGUGUGGAACAGCUGACCUGCUUACAAAAUGCAGGUCUUCAUAUCCUAACCUAGCUAUACAAAGCAACUUUUCCUCUUCUUUCAUCCACCUUCAGUUCCCACGGGCCUUCAUUAUGAAGAUUUCGAUUGAUUGCUGCUAACAUACACUUGAGUCCAAAUAUCUGUGCUAUUCAUAGCAAAGCACUCAUUCAGCCAAAUGCUUGGCUGUGUCAGCACUCCUUUGAUCAAACUGAAUAAAAGACUUAACCAGGUGUUCCUCAUAGCCCCAGGUCAUCGGAAGGAAUUCACCAGUGCAGGGAUGAUGUGCAGAAAUAAAAUCUCUCUGAAGUAUGGAGGGUAAAUGAUGUCCAGAGUUCCACCAAACAGGAGGAAAGAUUUUGCCAAAGCAGGACUUUAUCUGCCUUUAGAAGCCUUUCAAAGGUAUCCUGCUAAGUGGAAGGCAGAGAGAGGUACUUACAUGUGCCUAAGUUAGACUGUUCCUGUGCUGCAGGGAGCAAAGAGCAUGGUGCACACAGACACGUUAGUUCAUGGUGGUAUUUCUCAUACUCUUAUACGAUGUGGCAGAGAUCUUCCACCUCUUCUCAGAUUCCUUGAUAUGCCUGAGCAAUGUGUGAUCUUACAGCCAUGUUUUUGCCAGAGUAAUAAGAGGUUCUGCCCUGUGGGUGCACAUGCCUCUUGGUUCUCUUUGUGCUGUUCUGGUGCUUUGUCACACGCCCUCCUGGCUUUGCCAGCUUCCCACUACAUGCCAUUUUCCCCACUGCAAAAGUCCCCUUUCAACGCUGUGAAGCCUUUCUGCCGUGCAUGACUGAUUCCCGUACAAGUCUCAUCGGAGCAACAGGGGGCACUCUCGCACUGCAGUCUGCACGGCCGCAUUCGUUCCGCGAACGCUGCCUGGAGUCUAUCAGCACUGACAAGCAAUCAUAUGUCACCGUGUGGUUAAUUCUCCAGUUUGCAACCGACUGUCAGUGCAAAGAAUACUCCUUGAAAACGGAUAGCAAAGAUGUGCUCCUCAGCUGUAUGAGCUUCCCUACAGUUGCUUUAUGCUGUCUCCUACUCAAGGUCAGACUAGCUGAGACCCUUCCAUCCCAUCUCAUCCUUCUCUGCUGCUCUUUCUGCUUCCUCCUGCACAGCAGCACUAGUAACAGGAGGGCACAGCACAAAGAAUUUCAUCAGGGAACUUGAAAGUAACCUGUCAAAGCAGUAGGGAGCGUUGUUUUCAGUCUGUCUCAGUUCCUUCACAUACAACAUUGCUUGGUAUCACUGCCCACUCUGCUGCCUCAGGGUGCUCACUGUGGGCCACCAAGGACAGAACCAGGCUGACCCUGCUGUGCUUCCUUCUCUUAGAGGAGCACAAGCUUCCCUGGAGAACCCCGUGCCCGGCCCAUUGCUGGAAAGCUCUGCCAGCCUUCUGCCCUUCGUACACCUUUCCCUUGCUUCUCUCCUUACAUCAGCUCUGUAGACACAAGUUCUGCCUUUUUUGCUACAUACUUGCUGAGGAAAUAAAUGGUGUGUCACAUCAGUUGAUCCCUGUAGUGUUUUUCAGUUCUGAUUCUUGCUGAUCAUGCCUGUGCUUCCCUUCCUGUGCCUUCUGCCUGAGCGUAGGCACCCAUCAGAGGUUACAUGUGUGUCCUACUAUCUGUAGCCAUGCAGUUUUAUUUCGGGGCUUGCCAUUUGCAGCUAGCUCAUUUGGUGAACAGGCUCCUUAGCUAUUCUCCCUGUCUGAUACUCCCUAGACCAGAGGGAGAAGAAGCUGAGCUCUUUAGGUGACUCCUACAAUCAUGAUAUCCUACAGAAAGGCCAUGAACCUUGGAGAAAAGGCUCCCAGCCUCUGUUCCUAGCACUGUAUUUCACACAGACAUGAAAUACAGGGACUGUUUUUGGAGCAGAGAUCAAAUGCAGCUCCCAGCUGAAGGGUCCUGUCUGCCCUCUCUGACUGUUGCUGCACAAGACUGAUGCACAAGACUGAUGCUGCACAACAAUGCCAGAACCAUUCCUUACUCUUUCUCCUGGAAAGACAUAGUGUGGUGAUUUGAAAUGUGUAUACUUCCUACAGAUGAAGAGAACUGGACAGGUUAUCUUGAGCAUAUGCUUCAGUCACUGGACUAACGGAGACCCGGGAGCGAAUGCUGCUGGAUGCUAAGAAACACAAAUUGGGCAGUAUAUAUUACACUGAGAAAAAUACCUGGACUGCGGCCUUCGUGUGGCUCAGAGGAACACUUAGUAUCUGCACAAUGACUGGACUUCAACUCACUUUUUGUAAACCACCCACACCAUUGUGAGCUGACCUAGAACAGGAACUGGACUUUAUGGCAAGUUCUUACUGCAAAAUAAGCCAAUGCCAGAGAACUAAGCUCUGCUUUUGGACCUGUAACAAAUACUGCACAACAUUUGGACCCUGCUAAAUAGCAAUUUAUGAGAGAGAUCUGGUGCACCACAGAGCUGGCAAUGGACUGUGCAAAUGAGACUGUGUCCGAACUGGUUCCCCAAACUCUUUGUGGCCGCCUUCUUCAGGUUUUAUACUUCAAACCACAUUGUACACCCUAAUGCCACACUGCAGCAGGCAAUGUAUGCUGUCCAGGGAUAUAGCACUUGCUCUCUCUCAGGCACUAUGAACUGGAAAAGCACACAUGCAGAAAAACCCCAUGUGUUAUGAGAGAGCUCUCAUGCAGCCCAGCUGAAACCCAGAGUUAGAAGUCAGAUAAUGGGGAGAUAUCUAGUUCUAAGUAUUCCUGUGAGCGAACUGAAAGCCUGCAGCAGGAAUUACUUGCAUCUAUAAAAAUAUGGAUUAAAGCACUGUCAUAUUUUGAGCCUUAAAGGAGAGCUGUAGGUAAAGCCAGACUGAAAUUUUACACCGAAUCCUAACUGAAGAAAGAAAAUCUCUCCCUAAAGAUGCUGUAGUUCCCUUGCGUGCUUCAGAGGGCAAACCCAGUAUUUUGGAAACAUCCAAAAACCCAAAGACUUCUAUUUGCUCGAGGAUUCUCCUUCAUUCCUUCCUGGGGUGAAACAAACAGAUAAUCCUCAUUGUUAGAGAAACAUUACACUUCACACAGGUUUAUCAGUACAUAAACACAAUUCAUUAAAAAAUAUAUAUAUAAGGAUGAGGCUUAAUUUAAAUCUACUACAGUUAAUGAAAGCCCUCGGUAGCCCGAGAUCUAGCUUCUCAUAACCCAGAAGAGAGGAAACAUUAGCAUCGUCACACUUCUGCCCUUAGCAAUGACCCCUUUGGCACAAGGUUGAAACGCAGAGGGAGGGCAAGCUGCACUGCAGCAACGCAGGGUACAGAUUGCUGGUGCAGAUGCAGGACAACCAAUGCACACCGCCUUCUGUAUAAACCUCACUACAUUUUGUGUACAGAAAAUCGUUACUGUGGAAAUACAUUCUUCUUUUUUUUUUUUUUUUUUUUUUUUUUCCCACGCUGCAACAGAAGUUUUCCAAUACCUCUCUUCUUUUCUUCUGUCAUUCAGUUCCGUUCCGGGUGAAGUUGUCCCCGUCUCUGUAAAAUGUUAUGAGUUUAGCAGUCCUCAAUACUGGGAAGUACUGCACAGGUAUGGAGGAAGGGGAAAAUGUGGUCAUGUGUGGAUGGGGUGGUUUCUUCCUGACAGCAUUAAGAACCCGGUAGUUCUUGCAAGUGAAAGGCUCCAUCUUCCUGGCCAUACAUAAAUAGGUCUCCAGCUAGACUUUGCGUGACUGUGACGUACAGGAUGAGACCCUGCGUUAGCAAAAGUAACCAAGCGAUGAGGUCAGUACAGGACAAUGGGAAAAACUGAACUCCGUUACGACCGACCGUCACAUUGAUAAAUGCAGCUUCGUUGUUUUUUAUAAACAAAAUUAAACUUAAUUUGCUUCACAGAGGCUAAGGUGCCGUUAAUUCAAAACCCACCAAAUUACUCGCUGGACACAGUUAAUAGUCAGCAGACCACAUAGACCAGGCUUUGAAAGCAUUUAAUAUUCACUGAAGUGCUGCUUGUAUCCAAUUAUAACUCACUACUUGCCAUCUUAAUAAUUUAAAUCUGUCCACUCUUUAGAGAGGGGGAAAAAAAGCACUAAUCAAAGACAUGAAUGCACCUUUUGCUUUUGACAGCAUUAAAUUAAAACUAAAUGGUAGAUCUUGAAUGAGUUACUCUGCAAGAAUAAAGGCAUUAAUGAGGUAAUUUCAUUAUAGAGGCUCAUCCAAGCCUAUGUGAAAACAAGGGAAGUAAAUGGAGAGGAAAGCCACCGAGGAAAUUAGGGUUCCUUCCACACUAAUUAAUGUUUUGGGGCAUUUAGUAUAGGCACCAAAUUAACUGCUCCAAAGAACUCCAUUGAAGAAAAAAAAUACAUUGUUGCCCUGCCAUGUAAUUA
Long non-coding RNA from Numida meleagris (helmeted guineafowl), 6694 nucleotides. RefSeq lists it as uncharacterized. The record is from RefSeq and is a predicted model, not a curated record. Lineage: Eukaryota; Metazoa; Chordata; Aves; Galliformes; Numididae. The transcript has 3 exons.